ACGUCCUUAGUUCAGAGGUAGAACGUUGGUUUCCAAAACCAAAUGUCGUGGGUUCAAUUCCUACAGGGCGUG
RNAcentral lists this transfer RNA (72 nucleotides) under Carteria sp. SAG 8-5. RNAcentral's name for it is "tRNA-Trp". It matches the Rfam family "tRNA". From Rfam's summary of the family: Transfer RNA (tRNA) molecules are approximately 80 nucleotides in length. Their secondary structure includes four short double-helical elements and three loops (D, anti-codon, and T loops). Lineage: Eukaryota; Viridiplantae; Chlorophyta; Chlorophyceae; Chlamydomonadales; Chlamydomonadaceae. The record is from RNAcentral.